CAAAAGGCAGUGGGAGCAGGGAAGGAGGGAAAGAGCCGAGAGAGAGGCCUGCAGGCACAAUGGGAAGGGAAGGAGAGAAGGAGAGAAACAUCAAUGUGUGGCUGCCUCUCGUGAGUCCCCUGCUGGGAACUGGUCCGCAGCCCAGGCAUGUGCCCCGACCGGGAAUUGAACCGCGAUCAUGUGGUUCGCAGGCCCGUGCUCAAUCCACUGAGCCACACCAGCCAGGGCUCAUUUAUUUUUAAAAAGGAAGCUGAGAGUGCCAUCAUCGUCCUCUUCUUCUUCUUCAGAAAAUUUCUAAUAAAGUUUAAGUGAA
Artibeus jamaicensis (Jamaican fruit-eating bat) is the source of this 313-nucleotide long non-coding RNA. RefSeq lists it as uncharacterized. Lineage: Eukaryota; Metazoa; Chordata; Mammalia; Chiroptera; Phyllostomidae. The record is from RefSeq and is a predicted model, not a curated record. The transcript has 3 exons.